UUAAAUAUUACAAUUUAUUUACAAUAUAUUUUUGUAAAUGUAAAAAUAAUCCCUUGUAGGUUAUUCAUAGUUACCCUUUUCUAUCGUAUAGAAUAUUGUAUUAUAUAGGACAUAGGUAUUAUAAAAUUAUAUUCAGUCGUAAAAUCAUAAAUAAGAUUUUUAGAGAAAAUAAUUCCGAACAGCAUAAUAUAGUAUAAUAUUUCACUCUCGUUACAACGUAAUAUUUUAUAAAAUAAUAUUUAACUACCAUUAUAAUAAUGUAGUAUACCAGACGCGGUUUCAGUAAAUCGUGCAGUUCAAACGUAUUUUUUUUUCUUCAACUUAAUCGUUAAAAAGAUGACAUCUUUUUACCACACAAUUUUUGUAUUCGUUACGCUAAUAAUAUAUACACUACAAUUACGACUAAAUUUCAUAACAGCAGAAUGUGUCUUGAAUUUCACCAAAUAUAUAUUAUGCGUAAACCCAAAUACUCGUAUCAUUAACUUCGUGUCCCCGUCAUACGUUUUGUUUUUUUUUAUUCAGUAAUUCUCAUUUACCUAUUUUAUAUUCGUAGACGCGGUACAAACGCCCGUAACAGUUGUUUAAACAUUUAAACAAAACUACCGUGACUAUAUUAAAAACUCGUUUUUUCUUUUUCACUCAAAGUGCUUUGUACACCACCUAUCUUAUACCAGAUCCUUACAAUUAGCUAUACUCAGUACAUUCAGAUCCUUUUAUACUCUAUCCACCUUUUUCUUGGUUUGUUACAAGGUCUUUUUUUCUUUAAAAUCAAUUUAUAUAUAAUAUAAUCAAAUAUCUUCAAUCAAAUUCUGCUCUCAGUGUAUUAUGUUCUUUUCAACGCACAAUACGACCACGUCACGGAAUCCUACGACAUUUGAUAAAGCUGGUCACCAGACCCAUAUCCAUAAAUUACUGCAGCUCCUUGUAAAACCUCCUUUGACAAUACGAUUUCCUGAAUCAAGUACUGGUUUGCGAAUUUUUUUCCAUACUUUGUUUUCUAAAGUCCUCAAAUUCCUUUCCGUUAUGCUCGUCGUUGUCCGGGACCCACAUCUGUCCAUUCUUUUUUUGUUAACCUUUCAAGCGAAUAUUUGAGCGAACAAGGAGUCAAAUAAAUUGUAAUCGUAUAAAAUUGGAUUAUAAAAUGGAUUUCGAUUUCAAUCCGAUUAUAAUUGAAUUUCUUUUUAAAAUAUGGUUAUACGAUUACCUAGGCGUAGUAUAUACAGUAUAAUGGGUACUUUUGUAGUUAAGUAAAUGCAUAAACUUUUAGGUGUAGCUAUCGGGUGUCAUGCGUAAUUUUUAAAUUUAUCCAAGGUCGAUUCAUUUAUAAAUCGUAUACGUUCAAACGAUUGUAAUAAUUUCGUAAUCUAGCAAAAUUCGUGAAAAUUAUGUUCUAACACGUACCUAUUAUUAACCAAGUAUAUAUCAAUAAUUUGCCAAAUUACGGACUUUGAAAACAUGCCAUGAAUUCUCUAAUAUUACCUACGUAGGUAUAGUUAAUUGAACAGUUACUGUAUCUAUAUAGUGAACUUAUGGCACUUGUAAGGAAUUUAUACGAAAAACGCACGGGUCAAUAAUAUUAUUACUACGUAGGUAUAAAAUAGCUAUCAGCUUUUAUUAUUUUUAUUUUUUAAUUUUAGUGUGCACAACAAAAACAGUACCUAUUUUCGAUUCUGUCUACAUUAGUGAUUCCUAACUGGGAUUGCGAUGGGCACUUUUAAUUGAGAGGGACGUUCAACUAGGGGUGUGCUAUGAUUAUUCAGUCACUUCUAUUUGUAUACAGGGUGUCCUACAGUGUUAUCCUUAUGCUAAUAAUUCUGUCAAUAUUCAGUUUUUUAAAAUUAUUUUUUCCAAUCGGGUUUUGUGCA
Molecule: non-coding RNA, 1865 nt
Organism: Cinara cedri
Lineage: Eukaryota; Metazoa; Arthropoda; Insecta; Hemiptera; Aphididae
Source: the annotation of a GenBank genome assembly